RNAcentral lists this transfer RNA (87 nucleotides) under Triticum aestivum (bread wheat). It matches the Rfam family "tRNA". From Rfam's summary of the family: Transfer RNA (tRNA) molecules are approximately 80 nucleotides in length. Their secondary structure includes four short double-helical elements and three loops (D, anti-codon, and T loops). Lineage: Eukaryota; Viridiplantae; Streptophyta; Magnoliopsida; Poales; Poaceae. The record is from Rfam by way of RNAcentral. RNAcentral also lists the same sequence under 1 other name.
GAAGAGAUGGCCGAGUGGUUCAACCCAUAGCACUGGAACUGCUAUGUAGGCUUUUGUUUACCGAGGGUUCAAAUCCCUCUAUUUUCA